Drosophila persimilis is the source of this 1920-nucleotide RNA transcript. It is a transcript of the gene named putative RNA polymerase II subunit B1 CTD phosphatase RPAP2 homolog, with no coding region annotated. The record is from RefSeq and is a predicted model, not a curated record. Lineage: Eukaryota; Metazoa; Arthropoda; Insecta; Diptera; Drosophilidae. The transcript is spliced from 7 exons.
AAUAAACAAAAAAAUGCACAAAACAUGACGGAGGAGAAGAACGACCAAUUGCGGCAACAGCUCAUCGCGGCGGUAGUGAAAAAGCGCGCGGCAAUUGCGCGGGCUCAGGAAAUUGUGGUGAGGCUCCUGGAGCCCGACGUAGCAGAGCCGGAAUUCCUGGCCAUGCUCUGGGAAAUCGCACCCAACCACUAUACCGACAUUGUGGAUGAGCGCGAAAUCAGCCGAAACUGUGGGUACCCUCUCUGCUCCAAUGUCUUGCAGAAUGUACCCAACCAGAAGUACCAAAUCAGUGCAUCGCAAAACAAGGUCUACGAUAUCACAGAGCGCAAGAAAUUCUGCUCCGGCUAUUGUUUCCGCGCUUCUGAGUACAUUAAGGCCCAGGUGCCGACGUCGCCGCUGUGGCUGCGCGACAGGGAGUUGCGGCCGAGCUUUCAGCUGCUGCUGCGAGACAAAUGAAAAGUGUUUACAUUUGCUCAAUUUAUUACAUGGCGACUGCAGUAACUACAUAUUUGCUACAUAAUAGAAGGAAUAAGAAGGUGUGGACAGCAGGCAACGCGGCCCAAAAAAUUCAACGCAUGCAAGUUAAAAUCCACCCCUUUUGCCUAAUAUACCUUGGAGACAAAAAGGCGAUUCAAAAUUACGACUCAUAUGUUCGUUGCAGCAUUUUUAAAACGUAAACACCCUUUUAUGUGCAACUUAAGUUAAACCGCGGAAAAUGAAACACAGAGGAGGCAAAAGAGGAGCCACACAAACAAACAAAACAAAACAAAGUAAAACAAAGCAAACCAAAACAAAUAAAAAAGAGCAAUUAAAUCUUUCCAUUAAUUAUGGAACAUUCAUCAACAUUUUUGUUGUGUUUGUUCCAUCUUCAAAACGAAAAGGUCGCCGACUGUUUCCAGCUGCUGUCAUCAGAGGCACAACGCCGACUGGGAAAGUCUACAACUAAAUAUACAACAAAUUCCACCAGAAGACCAACAGCUACAAGCAAAGCGAGCCACAAGAUACAGCAUCCACGACAGCAGCAACCUCAGCUUCAACUCUACAACAAAAUUGCUGGCUAAAAAUUAAAAAACCCGAACGAAACAACGAUACUAAACUGAACUCAAGAAGGAUAUAAAAAGGAAAGGAUCAUUAUCAACAAGAAAGAACAACAACAACUGCUACCUAAGGUUUCUCAAGCUCCAAAAACAAACAACAAAUAAAUAAAAUACCAUAAAACAAAGAGAGAAAAAUAAAACAAGUGCAAAUUAUGUAAAUUAUAGCAAAAGCAAAUACGCUAAGGGAAAAGGAAGAGAAGCAAAAGCAAAAGCAAACGAAAGAGAAUUAGUCAAAUAGAAGCGGCAGCAAACAGAGGGAGAGAAAUAUUCACAAAAAGAUCUGUGACCAGGCAAACCGGAAAUUAAAUCUGCAACGUUUCUGCCCCGAAAAGACCAGGAGACCCGAGACCCGAGACCCGAGACCUCAGAGUCCAGAGCCCAGACCCCGAAAAGGAAGAGGAAGCCGCAGCAGCCGCAACCGCAGCAAAAUCCGAGUCGAGCAAACGGAACACGCGUGCCAAAUAUUUGCUCAAAAAUAGGAGAAUAAAAUAAUAAUCAAAGCACCGGAGAGGAGAGUAUCCCAGCGAAUUGAGAGAUUUAUUCGGCGGGAGAGCGGGCAAAUAGGGGGACACGUUUCAUGAGCGCUGCAGCAGGCUCCGAGAGCAGGGAAAGGCCACGGACCGCCUUCACCGGAGGCCAUUGUUGACACUCGCUCUGAACUCUGACCCUCCGCCGUUGGUGCGUCUCGUCUCCGGUCCAAGCUCCAGCUCUUUGUCUUCAGCUUCUGCUCCCGCUACCGCUUUUGUGCUAAUCAUCGCGGACACAGCGAGCGACGACUGCCUGAAAGGAGGUGACGGAGGAGAAACCCUGGCCAACUAUUUAA